RNAcentral lists this ribosomal RNA (467 nucleotides) under uncultured bacterium. RNAcentral describes it as "partial 16S ribosomal RNA". It matches the Rfam family "Bacterial small subunit ribosomal RNA", at positions 28 to 507 of the family's 1533-position model. The record is from RNAcentral.
GACGAACGCUGGCGGCGUGCUUAACACAUGCAAGUCGAACGGAGAGGCCUGUUUGGUGGGGUCCUCGAAUGGCGGACGGGUGAGUAACAGGUGAGUAACAUGACCCUGACUUUGGGAUAACUUCAGGAAACGGGGGCUAAUACUGGAACGGAGCUCGUGCUGCAUGGUGGGGGUUGGAAAGUUUCGGCGGUUGGGGAUGGAUUCGCGGCUCAUCAGCUUGUGGGUGGGGUAGUGGUUUACCAAGGCUGUGACUGGUAGCCGGCCUGGGAGCGUGACCGGCCACAUUGGGACUGAGAGACGGCCCAGACGCCUACGGGACGCAGCAGUGGGGAAUAUUGCACAAUGGGUCGAAGCCAGAUGCAACAACGCCGUGGUCGGGAUGACGUCUUUCGCGUUGUAAACCGCUUUCGCUCAUGACGAAACAUUGUGUGACGGUAGUGGGUAAAGAAGCACCGGCUAACUACGUG